Molecule: ribosomal RNA, 253 nt
Filed under: uncultured bacterium
Lineage: Bacteria
Description: partial 16S ribosomal RNA
Rfam family: Bacterial small subunit ribosomal RNA
Source: RNAcentral
UACGAAGGGGGCUAGCGUUGUUCGGAAUCACUGGGCGUAAAGCGCACGUAGGCGGAUUGUUAAGUGAGGGGUGAAAUCCCGGGGCUCAACCCCGGAACUGCCCUUCAUACUGGCAGUCUUGAGUUCGAGAGAGGUAAGUGGAAUUCCGAGUGUAGAGGUGAAAUUCGUAGAUAUUCGGAGGAACACCAGUGGCGAAGGCGGCUCACUGGCUCGAUACUGACGCUGAGGUGCGAAAGCGUGGGGAGCAAACAGG